AGCCCUCCCACACAGCACGACCCGCCCGCCUCCCGCCAGCCUGCAGUUGACGUGGAGCAGGCGGCAUAAAUCAAGUCCGCGGGGCAUGGAGGCUGCUGCCGCUGCUGCAGCUCAGCUAGCCCGGGGCGGGAACUCCCCCUUCUCCUUUGGCCUCCCCAGCUCCCACAACCUGCCCUCUCCUUAAUUCUUCCCUGGAUAAUAGCGCCUUAACGACAAUAGUCAAACUAACAGGGUCAGAACGGCAGGGUUUGUUUGUUUUGGUCUACAGAAAAAAAAAAAAAAAAAAACCAACCCAGCAGCCUAAAGACCUCUGAAAACUGCAUCGCAAGAUGGAAGAGAGAGAGUCCCACUACUGUUUCGAAAGAGUAAGUUAUUAUUUGAAACCAUGGAAGCCAAAUGCAGGGGACACUAGCACCAUAAAAUGAAUGAAGCUGAGUGCUUGAAACACUGCUAGGAGGAGACACCAGGAACACUUCAUGAAUCUAGUUGGAGCAUUAUAAAGAAGAUUGAAUCUGGAUUCAAAUGCAGUUUCUUACAUAAGCCUGUGGCCAACAGGUGACCAAGGAUGCUGAGACAUUACCUGGGCCAGGAACAAUGUCCAGUGAGGCAUACAUCAAUCCCUGGAAAAUAGGAUGUUAAUGACCAAGACUAUGCAAGAAGCAAAACAGUUUGACAAGUGAGAGGACAACUAAGGGAUGUGCAAG
Herpailurus yagouaroundi (jaguarundi) is the source of this 704-nucleotide long non-coding RNA. RefSeq lists it as uncharacterized. Lineage: Eukaryota; Metazoa; Chordata; Mammalia; Carnivora; Felidae. The transcript has 4 exons. The record is from RefSeq and is a predicted model, not a curated record.